Molecule: ribosomal RNA, 477 nt
Filed under: uncultured anaerobic ammonium-oxidizing bacterium
Lineage: Bacteria
Description: bacterial SSU rRNA
Rfam family: Bacterial small subunit ribosomal RNA
Source: RNAcentral
UUCGCAAUGCCCGAAAGGGUGACGAAGCGACGCCGCGUGUGGGAAGAAGGCCUUCGGGUUGUAAACCACUGUUGGGAGUUAGGAAGUGUGGAGGUGUUAAUAGCGCUUUCACUUGACUAAAGCUCCAGAGGAAGCCACGGCUAACUCUGUGCCAGCAGCCGCGGUAAUACAGAGGUGGCAAGCGUUGUUCGGAAUUAUUGGGCGUAAAGAGCACGUAGGCGGUUCUGCAAGUCGGCUGUGAAAGCCUUCCGCUCAACGGAAGAACAGCAGUUGAUACUACAGGACUAGAGUGCGGGAGGGGAGAGUGGAACUUCUGGUGGAGCGGUGAAAUGCGUAGAUAUCAGAAGGAACGCCGGCGGCGAAAGCGACUCCCUGGCCCGUAACUGACGCUGAGUGUGCGAAAGCUAGGGGAGCAAACGGGAUUAGAUACCCCGGUAGUCCUAGCCGUAAACGAUGGGCACUAAGUAGAGGGGUUUU